AUUGAACGCUGGCGGCAUGCCUUACACAUGCAAGUCGAACGGCAGCAUGAUCUAGCUUGCUAGAUUGAUGGCGAGUGGCGAACGGGUGAGUAAUACAUCGGAACGUGCCCUGUAGUGGGGGAUAACUAGUCGAAAGAUUAGCUAAUACCGCAUACGACCUGAGGGUGAAAGUGGGGGACCGCAAGGCCUCAUGCUAUAGGAGCGGCCGAUGUCUGAUUAGCUAGUUGGUGAGGUAAAGGCUCACCAAGGCGACGAUCAGUAGCUGGUCUGAGAGGACGAUCAGCCACACUGGGACUGAGACACGGCCCAGACUCCUACGGGAGGCAGCAGUGGGGAAUUUUGGACAAUGGGCGAAAGCCUGAUCCAGCAAUGCCGCGUGUGUGAAGAAGGCCUUCGGGUUGUAAAGCACUUUUGUCCGGAAAGAAAAGGCUCUGGUUAAUACCUGGGGUCGAUGACGGUACCGGAAGAAUAAGGACCGGCUAACUACGUG
Molecule: ribosomal RNA, 490 nt
Filed under: uncultured bacterium
Lineage: Bacteria
Description: partial 16S ribosomal RNA
Rfam family: Bacterial small subunit ribosomal RNA
Source: RNAcentral